CCUACGGGUGGCUGCAGUAGGGAAUCUUCCGCAAUGGACGAAAGUCUGACGGAGCAACGCCGCGUGAGCGAAGAAGGUCUUCGGAUCGUAAAGCUCUGUUGUUAGGGAAGAACAAGUACCGGAGUAACUGUCGGUACCUUGACGGUACCUAACCAGAAAGCCACGGCUAACUACGUGCCAGCAGCCGCGGUAAUACGUAGGUGGCAAGCGUUGUCCGGAAUCAUUGGGCGUAAAGCGCGCGCAGGCGGUCCUUUAAGUCUGAUGUGAAAUCUUGCGGCUCAACCGUAAGCGGUCAUUGGAAACUGGGGGCUUAGAGUGAAGGGAGGGAAAGAGGAAUCCCAUGUGUAGCGGGGAAAGGGGUAGGGAUAAGGGGGAACUCAAGUGGGGAGGGCGGAUUUCUGGCUUGUACCUGACGCGGAGGCGCGAAAGCGUGGGGAGCAAACAGGAUUAGAUACCCCGGUAGUC
Molecule: ribosomal RNA, 465 nt
Filed under: uncultured bacterium
Lineage: Bacteria
Description: bacterial SSU rRNA
Rfam family: Bacterial small subunit ribosomal RNA
Source: RNAcentral